GCAAGUCGAGCGGGAACAGAAGGGAGCUUGCUCCCGGAUGUUAGCGGCGGACGGGUGAGUAACACGUGGGUAACCUGCCUGUAAGACUGGGAUAACUCCGGGAAACCGGAGCUAAUACCGGAUAGUUCCUUGAACCGCAUGGUUCAAGGAUGAAAGACGGUUUCGGCUGUCACUUACAGAUGGACCCGCGGCGCAUUAGCUAGUUGGUGGGGUAAUGGCUCACCAAGGCGACGAUGCGUAGCCGACCUGAGAGGGUGAUCGGCCACACUGGGACUGAGACACGGCCCAGACUCCUACGGGAGGCAGCAGUAGGGAAUCUUCCGCAAUGGACGAAAGUCUGACGGAGCAACGCCGCGUGAGUGAUGAAGGUUUUCGGAUCGUAAAGCUCUGUUGUUAGGGAAGAACAAGUGCGAGAGUAACUGCUCGCACCUUGACGGUACCUAACCAGAAAGCCACGGCUAACUACGUGCCAGCAGCCGCGGUAAUACGUAGGUGGCAAGCGUUGUCCGGAAUUAUUGGGCGUAAAGGGCUCGCAGGCGGUUUCUUAAGUCUGAUGUGAAAGCCCCCGGCUCAACCGGGGAGGGUCAUUGGAAACUGGGAAACUUGAGUGCAGAAGAGGAGAGUGGAAUUCCACGUGUAGCGGUGAAAUGCGUAGAGAUGUGGAGGAACACCAGUGGCGAAGGCGACUCUCUGGUCUGUAACUGACGCUGAGGAGCGAAAGCGUGGGGAGCGAACAGGAUUAGAUACCCUGGUAGUCCACGCCGUAAACGAUGAGUGCUAAGUGUUAGGGGGUUUCCGCCCCUUAGUGCUGCAGCUAACGCAUUAAGCACUCCGCCUGGGGAGUACGGUCGCAAGACUGAAACUCAAAGGAAUUGACGGGGGCCCGCACAAGCGGUGGAGCAUGUGGUUUAAUUCGAAGCAACGCGAAGAACCUUACCAGGUCUUGACAUCCUCUGACAACCCUAGAGAUAGGGCUUUCCCUUCGGGGACAGAGUGACAGGUGGUGCAUGGUUGUCGUCAGCUCGUGUCGUGAGAUGUUGGGUUAAGUCCCGCAACGAGCGCAACCCUUGAUCUUAGUUGCCAGCAUUCAGUUGGGCACUCUAAGGUGACUGCCGGUGACAAACCGGAGGAAGGUGGGGAUGACGUCAAAUCAUCAUGCCCCUUAUGACCUGGGCUACACACGUGCUACAAUGGACAGAACAAAGGGCUGCAAGACCGCAAGGUUUAGCCAAUCCCAUAAAUCUGUUCUCAGUUCGGAUCGCAGUCUGCAACUCGACUGCGUGAAGCUGGAAUCGCUAGUAAUCGCGGAUCAGCAUGCCGCGGUGAAUA
This 1329-nucleotide ribosomal RNA is filed under the name Bacillus safensis. RNAcentral describes it as "bacterial SSU rRNA". It matches the Rfam family "Bacterial small subunit ribosomal RNA", at positions 57 to 1368 of the family's 1533-position model. The record is from RNAcentral. Lineage: Bacteria; Bacillati; Bacillota; Bacilli; Caryophanales; Bacillaceae.